This is a long non-coding RNA of Drosophila simulans, 1288 nucleotides long. RefSeq lists it as uncharacterized. The record is from RefSeq and is a predicted model, not a curated record. NCBI's taxonomy places the organism in Eukaryota, Metazoa, Arthropoda, Insecta, Diptera, Drosophilidae. The transcript has 2 exons.
GGAACUUCUGAAGCAGACACAAGCGGUAAUCAAAUAAAACUUUCAAGAUUUUUGUCUUUCGAGUGGCAAAUAAAUUUAAUUUGUCUGCCGAGCUUAAAUUCAUAAUCAAGAUUUGCAUUUUAAUGCCUUUGUGGGGGGGGAAAAGCAGAGUAAAAAAGGAAACGGGAGGCAGGAAAGGAGGAGAUGGCUAUGCAAACAUUUCCAUUAAAUGCCCGAACGGAAUGAAACGAAAGUGGGAUGGCUAAGGCAGCUCCAAAGGAAAACUAGAGUAAACACAUGCUCAAAGGAGCUGGGCGCAAAAUGGGGUUUCAACUGGAAAAUGGCCACCCAGCGGAGAGUGGGAGUGAGAGCGAUGGGAGUGGACGUCAACGACUGCGAAACGAUGUUGGAAAUUAAUUUCAUAAUAAAAAAGCCAGGCACUUCAGACUGCGUCCUGGAAAUGAAUAAAAAUUACAGUUUUCUGCGCAAAAACACUUGAGGCAACGAUUCGGAUUUGGAAUAAUAUGGAAAUUGCACAGGACCUGGGGAGCUGGGUAAUAAGGAAAGCCACAAAACCACAACUGAAAAUGGAUUACCGGACUUUCCGGGGGGAAAACUCUUCCAUCGCAGAACGGAGCUGUUGGUAACAUUAAUUAAAGGCUCUAAUAGAAGCUGCCACCUCCUAAUGGUUUCUUUUACAUACGCGUAUAUUAAAUUUAAUAUUUGGCGGCCUUUUUCAUCCACAGGAUAAGCCAGAUAUACAUUGUAUAUACAUAAAUAAAAUGACCAUAAAUAUAAUGUAUAUCGAAAAGCUUACAAGGAAACAUUAUUUUAAACAAAUUGUACAAAAUUAUUCGUAAUAAUAAUCAAUACUUCUGAUGUGUUUUUUACAGAGAUCCAAAUUUGUGUAAACGCUUGUGUAUGGCAACUUUUUAAUUUUAAUGCAUACUUCCUUUUAUUAUAACUGUUACUUGUUAAGUAAAAGGGUAUAUAAUAUUCCAUUAAAAGUAUGUAAAAGAUAGAACGAAGCGUUUCGUAUUCUAUUAAGUAUAUAUAUUCUUCAUUAGGCCCUCUAGCCGAUUUAAUCUAGCCGUAUCCGUACGUUUGUCUAUCCGUCCGCCCAGGUCUAUUUUGCAUAUGUCCAUAUCCGUCGCAUUUUCACUAGCUCUCUUCCUUUACCCUUGUAUAAAAAGUAUAAUUAAAAGAAACUCUUGAAUAGAUAUCGGGACUUUAUUCCUAAACAUAUAGUUAAUAGAUUCUGUAUUAAUAUAUAAUUUCCCUUAAAUAUACCAAUCUAUCAAAGUUGUAA